This is a long non-coding RNA of Oncorhynchus keta (chum salmon), 454 nucleotides long. RefSeq lists it as uncharacterized. The transcript is spliced from 3 exons. Lineage: Eukaryota; Metazoa; Chordata; Actinopteri; Salmoniformes; Salmonidae. The record is from RefSeq and is a predicted model, not a curated record.
CAGUGUGGUAUUGUUAGUGGAUGGUCCAGCCAGGUCACCAGUGUGGUAUUGUUAGUGGAUGGUCCAGCCAGGUCACCAGUGUGGUAUUGUUAGUGGAUGGUCCAGCCAGGUCACCAGUGUGGUAUUGUUAGUGGAUGGCCCAGCCAGGUCACCAGUGUGGUAUUGUUAGUGGAUGGUAGAGCCAGGUCACCAGUGUUGUAUUGUUAGUGGAUGGUAGAGCCAGGUCACCAGUGUUGUAUUGUUAGUGGAUGGUAGAGCCAGGUCACCAGUGUUGUAUUGUUAGUGGAUGGUAGAGCCAGGUCACCAGUGUUGUAUUGUUAGUGGAUGGUAGAGCCAGGUCACCAGUGUUGUAUUGUUAGUGGAUGGUACAGCCGGGUCAUCAAUGUGAACGGGUGGGUGGUGGUUGGAGUGUGAAGCAUGCCACCUGGCUUUCAUCACUCUGCCCAAGCAUCAU